This 72-nucleotide transfer RNA is filed under the name Dipodomys ordii (Ord's kangaroo rat). It matches the Rfam family "tRNA". Rfam says of the family: Transfer RNA (tRNA) molecules are approximately 80 nucleotides in length. Their secondary structure includes four short double-helical elements and three loops (D, anti-codon, and T loops). Further hydrogen bonds mediate the characteristic L-shaped molecular structure. tRNAs have two regions of fundamental functional importance: the anti-codon, which is responsible for specific mRNA codon recognition, and the 3' end, to which the tRNAs corresponding amino acid is attached (by aminoacyl-tRNA synthetases). tRNAs cope with the degeneracy of the genetic code in two manners: having more than one tRNA (with a specific anti-codon) for a particular amino acid; and 'wobble' base-pairing, i.e. permitting non-standard base-pairing at the 3rd anti-codon position. Lineage: Eukaryota; Metazoa; Chordata; Mammalia; Rodentia; Heteromyidae. The record is from Rfam by way of RNAcentral.
GGAGGCAUGGCUCAACUGUAGAGCACCUGACUAACAAGCAGGAAGCCUGGAAUUCAAACCCCAGUACUCCCA